Molecule: ribosomal RNA, 402 nt
Filed under: uncultured bacterium
Lineage: Bacteria
Description: bacterial SSU rRNA
Rfam family: Bacterial small subunit ribosomal RNA
Source: RNAcentral
UGGGGAAUAUUGCACAAUGGGCGAAAGCCUGAUGCAGCAACGCCGCGUGAGUGAUGAAGGCCUUCGGGUUGUAAAGCUCUGUCUUCUGGGACGAUAAUGACGGUACCAGAGGAGGAAGCCACGGCUAACUACGUGCCAGCAGCCGCGGUAAUACGUAGGUGGCAAGCGUUGUCCGGAUUUACUGGGCGUAAAGGAUGCGUAGGCGGAUACUUAAGUCAGAUGUGAAAAUCCCGGGCUUAACUUGGGUACUGCAUUUGAAACUGGGUAUCUAGAGUGCGGGAGAGGAAAGUGGAAUUCCUAGUGUAGCGGUGAAAUGCGUAGAGAUUAGGAAGAACACCAGUGGCGAAGGCGACUUUCUGGACCGUAACUGACGCUGAGGCAUGAAAGCGUGGGGAGCAAACA